RNAcentral lists this ribosomal RNA (465 nucleotides) under uncultured bacterium. RNAcentral's name for it is "partial 16S ribosomal RNA". It matches the Rfam family "Bacterial small subunit ribosomal RNA", at positions 28 to 507 of the family's 1533-position model. The record is from RNAcentral.
GACGAACGCUGGCGGCGUGCUUAACACAUGCAAGUCGAACGGAAAGGCCCUGCUUGCAGGGUACUCGAGUGGCGAACGGGUGAGUAACACGUGGGUGAUCUGCCCUGCACUUCGGGAUAAGCCUGGGAAACUGGGUCUAAUACCGGAUAGGAGCCAUUUUUAGUGUGAUGGUUGGAAAGUUUUUUCGGUGUAGGACGAGCUCGCGGCCUAUCAGCUUGUUGGUGGGGUAAUGGCCUACCAAGGCGGCGACGGGUAGCCGGCCUGAGAGGGUGGACGGCCACAUUGGGACUGAGAUACGGCCCAGACUCCUACGGGAGGCAGCAGUGGGGAAUAUUGCACAAUGGGCGCAAGCCUGAUGCAGCGACGCCGCGUGGGGGAUGACGGCCUUCGGGUUGUAAACUCCUUUCGCUAGGGACGAAGCUUUUUGUGACGGUACCUAGAUAAGAAGCACCGGCUAACUACGUG